RNAcentral lists this unclassified non-coding RNA (658 nucleotides) under Hevea brasiliensis (rubber tree). The record is from RNAcentral. Lineage: Eukaryota; Viridiplantae; Streptophyta; Magnoliopsida; Malpighiales; Euphorbiaceae.
UAUCUUUGUGUUUUUCACAUUGCAAGCCUAGAAAGCUGUUCUUAUUAUUAUUUUGUAGUCUUAGAGUAGUGUUGUCAUAUAGAUCUUAUUUCACUAAUUUGUGAAGCUAUACCCAUUGCUUUGGGAUCAUCCUACUACCAUAAAGUUACCCAUAAUAUCACUCAAUUUCUUCAAUUUGCAAUAUAUCUGCUGCCUACAAUUUUCGACAUCCUCAGCCUGAUUUUUAUACAUUUCUUGGAAACCUUUUUCUAAUCAAAUUGUCAAACCUUAUAUUCCUUUCACGUAUAUUUCAAAGUCUUCAAAUCCCAGUUUCACAAGUUCUAUUCCAUCACAAUUAUGUUGGCAAAUUAAUUAAAAUUGGUUCUGCAUCACUUUGGUAGAGUCAGAGGAGGCAGUCCAACUCUGUCAUCAUUGGUCUCGAUUAAUGUCUAAUUAGAGGGCGAUGGUUUGAUAUAUGCUUAUUUCAUGGGCAUAUUAAAUGAUUGAAGAAGAAAACUGGGAUCAAAGUUGAUAUAUAUUCUUUAAUAAAUUCGGAAAUUUUGUUGCUUGAAGAACCGUGUUGUUAAUGGGAAGUAUUUUUAUCAAUUAUCUAAAAAACAUGCUGACUUUUCUGCUUGAAAUUAUUUUAUCAUGUGCAGCUUCAGAAACAUCUCAGUGA